GACGAAGGAUGCAAGCGUUAUCCGGAUUCAUUGGGCGUAAAGGGUGCGUAGGCGGGUCUUUUAAGUCAGGGGUGAAAUCCUGGAGCUCAACUCCAGAACUGCCUUUGAUACUGAAGAUCUUGAGUUCGGGAGAGGUGAGUGGAACUGCGAGUGUAGAGGUGAAAUUCGUAGAUAUUCGCAAGAACACCAGUGGCGAAGGCGGCUCACUGGCCCGAUACUGACGCUGAGGCACGAAAGCGUGGGGAGCGAACAGG
This 254-nucleotide ribosomal RNA is filed under the name uncultured bacterium. RNAcentral's name for it is "partial 16S ribosomal RNA". It matches the Rfam family "Bacterial small subunit ribosomal RNA", at positions 524 to 776 of the family's 1533-position model. The record is from RNAcentral.